UACGUAGGGUGCGAGCGUUGUCCGGAAUUAUUGGGCGUAAAGAGCUUGUAGGCGGUUUGUCGCGUCUGCCGUGAAAAUUCGAGGCUCAACCUCGAACUUGCGGUGGGUACGGGCAGACUAGAGUGUGGUAGGGGAGACUGGAAUUCCUGGUGUAGCGGUGAAAUGCGCAGAUAUCAGGAGGAACACCGGUGGCGAAGGCGGGUCUCUGGGCCGAUACUGACGCUGAGGAGCGAAAGCAUGGGUAGCGAACAGG
Molecule: ribosomal RNA, 253 nt
Filed under: uncultured bacterium
Lineage: Bacteria
Description: partial 16S ribosomal RNA
Rfam family: Bacterial small subunit ribosomal RNA
Source: RNAcentral